Molecule: long non-coding RNA, 394 nt
Organism: Gastrolobium bilobum
Lineage: Eukaryota; Viridiplantae; Streptophyta; Magnoliopsida; Fabales; Fabaceae
Exons: 3
Source: RefSeq, a predicted model, not a curated record
GGUUAAAGCUGCUCCAAACUCCAAACUGCAAGAUGCUCUGACCCAAGGAGGUUCCAAGCCUUUGUGUAGCCGAAGAUCACAUGAUCGGCCUAGUUGUUUCUAGACAGAAUAGUCAAUUCGUUGGAGGAAAAGACGCAUCAUGAAGUCAGGUUGAAAGAGGGGUUGAAGGACUUGGCUACUAAACGUAUGGAACUGCAUAAUUCUUUAUCUUCAUCAUGGCCAAAGCAAGAUGCGGUUCUGGCAAAAACAAAAGAGCUGAAAAAACUAUGAGGGUACACUUUCAUCCAUGUUUGAUGGAAGACCAGUUAAUAUAAUUGGGGAGAUCAACACUCUUUUGACUAGUGGUCUUGGAGCAUGAAGAAAAGUAGCUUCUGAUGAAAAUGAUGAAGUCUUU